UGCAAAUUAAACAUAACCAGGAGCUCUUACU
Molecule: non-coding RNA, 31 nt
Filed under: Mus musculus (house mouse)
Lineage: Eukaryota; Metazoa; Chordata; Mammalia; Rodentia; Muridae
Source: RNAcentral